CGGAGCGUAGCGCAGUCCGGUAGCGCACCUCGUUCGGGACGAGGGGGUCGGAGGUUCGAAUCCUCUCGCUCCGACCA
RNAcentral lists this transfer RNA (77 nucleotides) under Cellvibrio sp. RNAcentral's name for it is "tRNA-Pro". It matches the Rfam family "tRNA". Rfam says of the family: Transfer RNA (tRNA) molecules are approximately 80 nucleotides in length. Their secondary structure includes four short double-helical elements and three loops (D, anti-codon, and T loops). Further hydrogen bonds mediate the characteristic L-shaped molecular structure. tRNAs have two regions of fundamental functional importance: the anti-codon, which is responsible for specific mRNA codon recognition, and the 3' end, to which the tRNAs corresponding amino acid is attached (by aminoacyl-tRNA synthetases). tRNAs cope with the degeneracy of the genetic code in two manners: having more than one tRNA (with a specific anti-codon) for a particular amino acid; and 'wobble' base-pairing, i.e. permitting non-standard base-pairing at the 3rd anti-codon position. RNAcentral also lists the same sequence under 3 other names. Lineage: Bacteria; Pseudomonadati; Pseudomonadota; Gammaproteobacteria; Cellvibrionales; Cellvibrionaceae. The record is from RNAcentral.